Molecule: transfer RNA, 73 nt
Filed under: Salmo salar (Atlantic salmon)
Lineage: Eukaryota; Metazoa; Chordata; Actinopteri; Salmoniformes; Salmonidae
Rfam family: tRNA
About the family: Transfer RNA (tRNA) molecules are approximately 80 nucleotides in length. Their secondary structure includes four short double-helical elements and three loops (D, anti-codon, and T loops). Further hydrogen bonds mediate the characteristic L-shaped molecular structure. tRNAs have two regions of fundamental functional importance: the anti-codon, which is responsible for specific mRNA codon recognition, and the 3' end, to which the tRNAs corresponding amino acid is attached (by aminoacyl-tRNA synthetases). tRNAs cope with the degeneracy of the genetic code in two manners: having more than one tRNA (with a specific anti-codon) for a particular amino acid; and 'wobble' base-pairing, i.e. permitting non-standard base-pairing at the 3rd anti-codon position.
Source: Rfam by way of RNAcentral
GUCCCUGUGGCUCAGUUGGUAGAGCAUGGUGUGUGCAACGCCAGGGUUGUGGGUUUGAUUCCCAUGGGGGGCC